This 628-nucleotide long non-coding RNA is filed under the name Coffea arabica (coffee). RNAcentral describes it as "long non-coding RNA (CARA_LNC007223)". Lineage: Eukaryota; Viridiplantae; Streptophyta; Magnoliopsida; Gentianales; Rubiaceae. The record is from RNAcentral.
UGAAGAAGACAAAUUGAAGCAUAGUGGUUCUACAUGCUUAGAAAAUGUUGUUUAUUCGCAUAUGGAUGGGGUGUGCAGGUCAGUUGACAUGUCCAGUGUGCCAGAACCAUCAUUUGUCCCUGAGACUGAGUUUGGUGAUCAAACAGACCUAUUUUCUGUAGCAGUAUCUUGCAGCCUCAUGGAAGUGGAUUCGAUGAGUGAAAAUUUAUUACCAAGGUUCUCUUCCAUUAACGAUGCAAAGUGCUGUACUCCACCAUAUGAGAACCAGGAAAUGCUGAGCAAUGAUAGUGAUAUGCAUAAGAAAACAUUGAAGACAGAGGAGAUAGGUGAUUCUAACCUUGAACAUGUAGAAGAUGGCAUAAGAGGACAUCAAAUGUUGGAUGAAUGUAGCCGCGUUGAGUUCAGUGGAGCUCCUAAGACCUUCAAGACACUAAAGCCUCAUCAACAGGUUGAUUUUGUAGAAGAAACAUGGAAAAGACUGCGUGAGCGUAAAACAGAUUUACAGCAGUAUGUUACCCCUCAACAGAAAGAAGCUUUUCAAGCUCUAAAAGUUGCUUCCGGAAUGAGUAAACUAAUUUCUGAAGCUGAUUCAUUAGUUACUUUGUGCCAAUCACAGAUAUGUGUAAGU